CCCGCUAAAGGUAAACCCUGAGCAAUCAGGGGGCGCAAAGCAAAGGGUCUUGCCAGGUCGCUGAAACGGUUUCCAUAGCCUAAGCAGUCGAAAGACAGCCUUGCUGCCAAAG
Molecule: non-coding RNA, 112 nt
Filed under: Candidatus Brocadia
Lineage: Bacteria; Pseudomonadati; Planctomycetota; Candidatus Brocadiia; Candidatus Brocadiales; Candidatus Brocadiaceae
Also listed under: 1 other name
Description: c-di-GMP sequence
Rfam family: c-di-GMP-I-GGC riboswitch aptamer
Source: RNAcentral